UUUACAGAAAUUUGUACACUUCCCUAGUAAAAAGAUCAGUCGAAAAGUCUUCUGUUUUGGUGGACUUGCAGCAACUUGAAAUGCAUUGUGAUGCAGAUAAAGCAUACUCAGAAGGAUGCUGUGAACUUUCUGAUACUUGUGAAAGAAGUUGUAAAUGUGCCCAUGGAAGAUCACAAGAUCAAGGAACAACAGGCCC
Long non-coding RNA from Alligator sinensis (Chinese alligator), 196 nucleotides. RefSeq lists it as uncharacterized. NCBI's taxonomy places the organism in Eukaryota, Metazoa, Chordata, Crocodylia, Alligatoridae. The record is from RefSeq and is a predicted model, not a curated record. The transcript is spliced from 3 exons.